GGAGUCUGGGCCGUGUCUCAGUCCCAAUGUGGCCGUUCACCCUCUCAGGCCGGCUAUGGAUCGUCGCUUUGGUGGGCCGUUACCCCGCCAACUGGCUAAUCCAACGCGGGUCCAUCCCAUACCACCGGAGUUUUUCACACUAGGUCAUGCGACCUCGUGCGCUUAUGCGGUAUUAGCAGACAUUUCUGUCUGUUAUCCCCCGGUAUGGGGCAGGUUCCCCACGCGUUACUCACCCGUCCGCCACUAAGAUCAAACUUCUUUGACCGAAGUCUCCAAAAAAUGAUCUCCGUUCGACUUGCAUGUGUUAGGCACGCCGCCAGCGUUCAUCCUGAGCCAUGAUCAAACUACU
This 349-nucleotide ribosomal RNA is filed under the name uncultured Coprococcus sp. Its description in RNAcentral is "partial 16S ribosomal RNA". Lineage: Bacteria; Bacillati; Bacillota; Clostridia; Lachnospirales; Lachnospiraceae. The record is from RNAcentral.